RNAcentral lists this ribosomal RNA (728 nucleotides) under uncultured bacterium. RNAcentral's name for it is "bacterial SSU rRNA". It matches the Rfam family "Bacterial small subunit ribosomal RNA", at positions 772 to 1500 of the family's 1533-position model. The record is from RNAcentral.
ACAGGAUUAGAUACCCUGGUAGUCCACGCCGUAAACGAUGUCGACUUGGAGGCUGUUCCCCUGAGGAGUGGCUUCCGGAGCUAACGCGUUAAGUCGACCGCCUGGGGAGUACGGCCGCAAGGUUAAAACUCAAAUGAAUUGACGGGGGCCCGCACAAGCGGUGGAGCAUGUGGUUUAAUUCGAUGCAACGCGAAGAACCUUACCUACUCUUGACAUCCAGAGAACUUUCCAGAGAUGGAUUGGUGCCUUCGGGAACUUUGAGACAGGUGCUGCAUGGCUGUCGUCAGCUCGUGUUGUGAAAUGUUGGGUUAAGUCCCGCAACGAGCGCAACCCUUAUCCUUUGUUGCCAGCGAUUCGGUCGGGAACUCAAAGGAGACUGCCGGUGAUAAACCGGAGGAAGGUGGGUAUGACGUCAAGUCAUCAUGGCCCUUACGAGUAGGGCUACACACGUGCUACAAUGGCGCAUACAAAGAGAAGCGACCUCGCGAGAGCAAGCGGACCUCAUAAAGCGCGUCGUAGUCCGGAUCGGAGUCUGCAACUCGACUCCGUGAAGUCGGAAUCGCUAGUAAUCGUGGAUCAGAAUGCCACGGUGAAUACGUUCCCGGGCCUUGUACACACCGCCCGUCACACCAUGGGAGUGGGUUGCAAAAGAAGUAGGUAGCUUAACCUUCGGGAGGGCGCUUACCACUUUGUGAUUCAUGACUGGGGUGAAGUCGUAACAAGGUAAC